UUUCUUGCACUUUUCAAUGUCCCAUGCUUGGUGCUCUCUUGCAAAGUCCAAAUGGGCAAUUUUGUGGCGUUGAAGGAGACAAGGCCUUUGAAGACGUUUUUCGUUCUUAAAGUCUUUCUCUGGCAGAUGCCGUCUGAUGGUUAUUGGGCAGCAGUCGGCACCAGUAAUGGCCUUAAUUUGGGUCAAGGAUCAUCCCAUGUCUUGACGGACACCCAAUCGGAUCUUCCAGCUCAGCGCUGGUGAAAUUUUUCGGGUCUACCACUUGACUUUUUUGUUC
Molecule: long non-coding RNA, 277 nt
Organism: Sphaeramia orbicularis (orbiculate cardinalfish)
Lineage: Eukaryota; Metazoa; Chordata; Actinopteri; Kurtiformes; Apogonidae
Exons: 3
Source: RefSeq, a predicted model, not a curated record